AACUAAUAAAAAAAUAAAUUACAUAACUCGUUUGGAAACUGCAAGAUAAAUCUAUUAAGCAUAAUUAAUCUGUCAUUAGCACAUGUGGGUUACUGUAGCACUUAAGGCUAAUCAUAGACUAACUAGGCUUAAAAGAUUCGUCUCGCGAUUUUCAACCAAACUGUGUAAUUAGUUUAUUUUUUUAUCUACAUUUAAUAUUCCAUGCAUGUGUC
This 212-nucleotide long non-coding RNA is filed under the name Sorghum bicolor (sorghum). RNAcentral describes it as "long non-coding RNA (SBIC_LNC013539)". Lineage: Eukaryota; Viridiplantae; Streptophyta; Magnoliopsida; Poales; Poaceae. The record is from RNAcentral.